UACGAAGGGGGCUAGCGUUGUUCGGAAUCACUGGGCGUAAAGGGCGCGUAGGCGGCCGUUCAAGUCGGGGGUGAAAGCCUGUGGCUCAACCACAGAAUGGCCUUCGAUACUGGACGGCUCGAGACCGGAAGAGGUCAGUGGAACUGCGAGUGUAGAGGUGAAAUUCGUAGAUAUUCGGCGGAACACCAGUGGCGAAGGCGACUCACUGGCCCGAUACUGACGCUGAGGCGCGAAAGCGUGGGGAGCAAACAGG
Molecule: ribosomal RNA, 253 nt
Filed under: uncultured bacterium
Lineage: Bacteria
Description: partial 16S ribosomal RNA
Rfam family: Bacterial small subunit ribosomal RNA
Source: RNAcentral